CUCCCUGCGCAGCCCGCCGUGCCUCCCCCGCGCUCCCCGGGCUCCUCGGCCCCCCGGGGUCCGGGGACACGCCUCGCCAAAGCGGUGCUGCAUCGGCGGCGUGGCCGUGCUGGAGCUGCCAGACAGCUUCUCCCGUGAGGAUAUGAUCAGAGCAUCAGCGCCCGGGCACCGCUGCUCACAGACCCCGCCGAAGGUGUCUGCCCGCGCCUGCUGCGCCCAGCUGGAGAGGGCGCAGCACGGGCCUGGAGGUCCUGAGGGAAAAGGGCGAUCUCUGUCCAGGAAUGCCGUGUUGCAGCUCCCAGGCCCCGCCUGACACAACUAGAACUAUUAUGCAAUUAAAGUGUCUACAGCUGGGGUAAAUAAAAUUGAUUCUAAUUAGAGUUUAGCGUUAAGUAUACAUUUACUUCUGGUUAUAUUUAUUCAGGAUUUUCCCCCAACUGGCCAUACAGUAAUGUGUUUUGAUUUUGAAAGUAAACAAAAGAUGCCUAACUCAACUCAUUAAAACUCCCUUUGUGGGAUCUCAAGAACAAGCCUGUCUGUGGCACCAUACAGCAUUUUGUGCUCAACCCCUACGUCACAUUCCUUCUUGGUCUGAUAAUGAAGUGGAUCACAGCACACCAGAUUGCAGUUUAUUCAAAGACAGAACAGUCUGUACCCAGGCUCCAUCUGAUCUCUGCAAGCUGUCCUGUGGAUAUCAGUUCUUGCACCUUGUGGUUCAUGGUUUGAUUAUGGGGCCAGCCCUGAAGACUCCCUCACUGUCAACAACUUGCCAUAUAAUCCAGAAAGGAAUUGUGCAUCAGCAAGUGCACAAGUCACUGUAG
Molecule: long non-coding RNA, 821 nt
Filed under: Cyanistes caeruleus (blue tit)
Lineage: Eukaryota; Metazoa; Chordata; Aves; Passeriformes; Paridae
Description: lncRNA (ENSCCEG00000001047.1)
Source: RNAcentral